Molecule: ribosomal RNA, 1539 nt
Filed under: Staphylococcus aureus
Lineage: Bacteria; Bacillati; Bacillota; Bacilli; Caryophanales; Staphylococcaceae
Description: 16S ribosomal RNA
Rfam family: Bacterial small subunit ribosomal RNA
Source: RNAcentral
AGAGUUUGAUCCUGGCUCAGGAUGAACGCUGGCGGCGUGCCUAAUACAUGCAAGUCGAGCGAACGGACGAGAAGCUUGCUUCUCUGAUGUUAGCGGCGGACGGGUGAGUAACACGUGGAUAACCUACCUAUAAGACUGGGAUAACUUCGGGAAACCGUAGCUAAUACCGGAUAAUAUUUUGAACCGCAUGGUUCAAAAGUGAAAGACGGUCUUGCUGUCACUUAUAGAUGGAUCCGCGCUGCAUUAGCUAGUUGGUAAGGUAACGGCUUACCAAGGCAACGAUGCAUAGCCGACCUGAGAGGGUGAUCGGCCACACUGGAACUGAGACACGGUCCAGACUCCUACGGGAGGCAGCAGUAGGGAAUCUUCCGCAAUGGGCGAAAGCCUGACGGAGCAACGCCGCGUGAGUGAUGAAGGUCUUCGGAUCGUAAAACUCUGUUAUUAGGGAAGAACAUAUGUGUAAGUAACUGUGCACAUCUUGACGGUACCUAAUCAGAAAGCCACGGCUAACUACGUGCCAGCAGCCGCGGUAAUACGUAGGUGGCAAGCGUUAUCCGGAAUUAUUGGGCGUAAAGCGCGCGUAGGCGGUUUUUUAAGUCUGAUGUGAAAGCCCACGGCUCAACCGUGGAGGGUCAUUGGAAACUGGAAAACUUGAGUGCAGAAGAGGAAAGUGGAAUUCCAUGUGUAGCGGUGAAAUGCGCAGAGAUAUGGAGGAACACCAGUGGCGAAGGCGACUUUCUGGUCUGUAACUGACGCUGAUGUGCGAAAGCGUGGGGAUCAAACAGGAUUAGAUACCCUGGUAGUCCACGCCGUAAACGAUGAGUGCUAAGUGUUAGGGGGUUUCCGCCCCUUAGUGCUGCAGCUAACGCAUUAAGCACUCGCCUGGGGAGUACGACCGCAAGGUUGAAACUCAAAGGAAUUGACGGGGACCCGCACAAGCGGUGGAGCAUGUGGUUUAAUUCGAAGCAACGCGAAGAACCUUACCAAAUCUUGACAUCCUUUGACAACUCUAGAGAUAGAGCCUUCCCCUUCGGGGGACAAAGUGACAGGUGGUGCAUGGUUGUCGUCAGCUCGUGUCGUGAGAUGUUGGGUUAAGUCCCGCAACGAGCGCAACCCUUAAGCUUAGUUGCCAUCAUUAAGUUGGGCACUCUAAGUUGACUGCCGGUGACAAACCGGAGGAAGGUGGGGAUGACGUCAAAUCAUCAUGCCCCUUAUGAUUUGGGCUACACACGUGCUACAAUGGACAAUACAAAGGGCAGCGAAACCGCGAGGUCAAGCAAAUCCCAUAAAGUUGUUCUCAGUUCGGAUUGUAGUCUGCAACUCGACUACAUGAAGCUGGAAUCGCUAGUAAUCGUAGAUCAGCAUGCUACGGUGAAUACGUUCCCGGGUCUUGUACACACCGCCCGUCACACCACGAGAGUUUGUAACACCCGAAGCCGGUGGAGUAACCUUUUAGGAGCUAGCCGUCGAAGGUGGGACAAAUGAUUGGGGUGAAGUCGUAACAAGGUAGCCGUAUCGGAAGGUGCGGCUGGAUCACCU